UUUAUUUGAGAGUUUGAUCCUGGCUCAGGAUGAACGCUGGCGGCGUGCUUAACACAUGCAAGUCGAACGGAGCUAUUAUAUUGGAUUUCUUCGGAG
Molecule: ribosomal RNA, 96 nt
Filed under: Anaerosacchariphilus polymeriproducens
Lineage: Bacteria; Bacillati; Bacillota; Clostridia; Lachnospirales; Lachnospiraceae
Description: Robinsoniella sp. MCWD5 partial 16S ribosomal RNA
Rfam family: Bacterial small subunit ribosomal RNA
Source: RNAcentral